This 1403-nucleotide ribosomal RNA is filed under the name human gut metagenome. RNAcentral describes it as "bacterial LSU rRNA". It matches the Rfam family "Bacterial large subunit ribosomal RNA", at positions 497 to 1991 of the family's 2925-position model. The record is from RNAcentral.
AGUACUGUGAAGGAAAGGUGAAAAGCACCCCGGGAGGGGAGUGAAAAAGAACCUGAAACCCUGUGCCUACAAGCACCUAGAGCACGUCAAUGUGUGAUAGGGUACUUUUUGUAGAACGGUCCGGCGAGCGAUUGUAUGCAGCAAGGUUAAGGACUUAAGGUCUGGAGCCGAAGCGAAAGCGAGUUUGAAAAGGGCGUUAAGUUGCAUAUAAUGGGCCCGAAACCGGGUGACCUACCCAUGGUCAGGUUGAAGUGGAAGUAAAAUUCCAUGGAGGACCGAACCGACCUCCGUUGAAAAGGCGGCGGAUGAACUGUGGGUAGCGGAGAAAUUCCAAUCGAACCCGGAGAUAGCUGGUUCUCCCCGAAAUAGUUUUAGGACUAGCCUCAAGUUAGAUACCUGGAGGUAAAGCACUGAAUAGCCUAGCGGCCGAGAGGUUAGCGAAGCUUAUCAAACUCAGAAUGCCAGAGUAUUGAUGCUUGGGAGUCAGACAGUGUCAGAUAAAUGUCAUUGUCAAAAGGGAAACAGCCCAGAUCUACAGCUAAGGUCCCAAAGUCAGGUUAAGUGGAAAACGAUGUGAAGAUACGCAGACAACCAGGAUGUUGGCUCAGAAGCAGCCACUCAUUCAAAGAGUGCGUAAUAGCUCACUGGUCGAGCGUCUUUGCGCGGAGAAUUUAACGGGGCUAAACCUGACACCGAAGCUUAGGCAAUCCAGUAAUGGAUUGGGUAGGGGAGCGUUGUAUACGCGGAGAAACAGUAGCGUAAGCGGCUGUGGAGUGUAUAGAAGUGAGAAUGCCGGAAUGAGUAGCGCGAAUGCAGUGAGAAUCUGCAUGGCCGAAAGCCUCAGGUUUUUGGAGGAAGGUUCGUCCGCUCCAAGUUAGUCGGGAGCUAAGGUGAGGCCGGAAGGCGUAGCCGAUGCACAGACGGUAGAGAUUCCGUCACCACCAAAAGAGUUAAGCACAGGGACACAUUUGAAGUCUCAGAGCCGGGUGUUGGUUCCGGUAGAGAUCGAGGGAAGUUAGUACCGAAGUCUGGGAUGGAAGAUGGCGAGAAAAGCUGUGUGUAUUUCUGAGGUGCCCGUACCGCAAACCGACACAGGUAGGUAGGAAGAAGAUUCUAAGGCCAACGGGAGAAGGGUUGUUAAGGAACUCGGCAAAUUGACCCCGUAACUUCGGGAGAAGGGGUGCUCCAGAGAUGGAGCCGCAGAGAAUCGGCCCAAGCAACUGUUUACCAAAAACACAGGUUUGUGCUAAAUCGAAAGAUGACGUAUACGAGCUGACGCCUGCCCGGUGCUGGAAGGUUAAGAGGAGAUGUGCAAGCAUUGAAUCGAAGCCCCAGUGAACGGCGGCCGUAACUAUAACGGUCCUAAGGUAGCGAAAUUCCUUGUCAGGUAAGUUCUGACCCGC